Molecule: ribosomal RNA, 585 nt
Filed under: uncultured bacterium
Lineage: Bacteria
Description: bacterial SSU rRNA
Rfam family: Bacterial small subunit ribosomal RNA
Source: RNAcentral
ACAAUACCGCAUACGUUUCGCGAGAAACAAAGCUUCGCAAGAGGCGCCACAAGAGGAGCCCGCGCCCGAUUAGCUAGUUGGUGGGGUAAGAGCUUACCAAGGCAAUGAUCGGUAGCUGGUCUGAGAGGACGAUCAGCCACACUGGGAUUGAGAACGGCCCAGACUCCUACGGGGGGCAGCAGUGAGGAAUAUUCCGCAAUGGACGCAAGUCUGACGGAGCAACGCCGCGUGCAGGACGAAGGUCUACGGAUCGUAAACUGCUUUUACCAGGGAAGAGAAUGGACGGUACCUGGAGAAUAAGCCCCGGCUAACUACGUGCCAGCAGCCGCGGUAAUACGUAGGGGGCGAGCGUUAUCCGGAUUUAUUGGGCGUAAAGCGCACGCAGGCGGUCCAGCAAGUGUGGGGUGAAAGCUCCUGGCUUAACCAGGAGAGGACUCAACAAACGGCCGGACUUGAGAGCGAGAGAGGGAUACGGAAUUCCAGGUGGAGCAGUGACAUGCGUAGAGAUCUGGAGGAACACCAAAGGCGAAGGCAGUGUCCUGGCUCGUUUCUGACGCUCAGGUGCGAAAGCUAGGGGAGCGAACG